Molecule: long non-coding RNA, 879 nt
Organism: Podarcis raffonei (Aeolian wall lizard)
Lineage: Eukaryota; Metazoa; Chordata; Lepidosauria; Squamata; Lacertidae
Exons: 3
Source: RefSeq, a predicted model, not a curated record
GUCAUCUCCUGUCAAAAGAGUUUCUCUGUCUCACAUCUGCAAGGGAAAUCUAAAGCACUUGGCUGGUAACAUGAGGUCUGAAAGAAAAGCCAAGGAGAAGAGAGAGCAGGGAAACCAACACUUCUUUGGACAGCGAUAACUGCGUAUCACACCCAGGCUUUGUCCAUAGGGAACAAGGCAACACAAACCCAUUAAAAUCAAUGUUGUGCACUUCCAUCACUGGGCUCCAUUGAAAACAGCUUCUCCAUGUGAAUCAGGAAGUGACAUCUCCAGACAACGGAAGGACUCUUAUCUCUGCGGCUGCAAUGCCCUCGGUGAUGCAGACGCCGUUAGGUCAUUGAAUGUGCAUAUGUACUCCAUCUAUUUCCCUCUUUCCCACCCACCCUUCCGCACAGCCCCAGGUGCCAGUAACCCACGCUAUGCCACUGAUUACUACUGCUAUUGGCAGCUACUCACAGAGGCAGCACAGAUGACAGUGGACAGCCCUUACCUUAAUGCCUUCCCUGAACUCCCAGAAUGAUCAAGCUAGCUACUCUUCAAAAUGCACUCUUGGGCUACAUGAACCUUAGAACAAUCUCAUCCAGCAAGGCAAUUCUCAUGCUGAAGAAGCAAGCACUUCUUUCUCAAAUCAGAUGUAUUUAUUUUUUAAUCACCAAAGCUUAUUGAGCCCUUCGUCAAACAAGAGGGCUUGCUUUUUUUUUUUUGCUAUAAAUAAAAUCCACAUAGGCACACAGCAGCUUUUUUGGUAUCCCUGAUACCAAACAGCUGAACAGCUGAACCUUGGGUAUGCCAAGAGCUAUCACUUCUAUGUGAUGCAAACAUUCCUUAAAUUUUCCUCCAUACACUAGAUGUGAGAUCUGUAUCCCAUAUAUAUAUAUG